GGGCGCUUAGCUCAGCUGGUUAGAGCGUCGCAUUUACACUGCGAAGGUCUAAGGUUCGACUCCUUAAGCGCCCA
Molecule: transfer RNA, 74 nt
Filed under: Patescibacteria group bacterium
Lineage: Bacteria
Description: tRNA-Val
Rfam family: tRNA
About the family: Transfer RNA (tRNA) molecules are approximately 80 nucleotides in length. Their secondary structure includes four short double-helical elements and three loops (D, anti-codon, and T loops). Further hydrogen bonds mediate the characteristic L-shaped molecular structure. tRNAs have two regions of fundamental functional importance: the anti-codon, which is responsible for specific mRNA codon recognition, and the 3' end, to which the tRNAs corresponding amino acid is attached (by aminoacyl-tRNA synthetases). tRNAs cope with the degeneracy of the genetic code in two manners: having more than one tRNA (with a specific anti-codon) for a particular amino acid; and 'wobble' base-pairing, i.e. permitting non-standard base-pairing at the 3rd anti-codon position.
Source: RNAcentral